RNAcentral lists this long non-coding RNA (525 nucleotides) under Malus domestica (apple). Its description in RNAcentral is "long non-coding RNA (MDOM_LNC021085)". The record is from RNAcentral. Lineage: Eukaryota; Viridiplantae; Streptophyta; Magnoliopsida; Rosales; Rosaceae.
UUGAUUUGCAUAACACAUAUUCAAGAUAAAGUUGUGUAGUGACCACCACCAUAACCAAAAAGCCGUAAAUCCCCUAUGUCAUUAUGUUUUGUACGUUUUAAUCCCGUUUAGCUUUGUGAGCCUUUUCUUUGUAACCCACAUUACCCUCACCUAGCUUAGAUUAGGACCAUCCAUUAACCUUGUUCUUAAAGCGUAGUAAAGCAUGAUUCAAAUUGAAUUCCUUUGUGGCAGAAAACAAGUGUGGGGGAAGUGUUUUUCAUAAGGAAUUAUGUGCCAUAGGCGCGGGUAAAAAGAAAGAAAAAAGAAAAGAAAAAUGUGAAAAGAAUGCGAAAAGAGUUGAAAAGAAGUGAAAAAGAGUUCUAAAGUGUUGUUUGAUGAAGAAGGGGUCCAAAACAAUGAAUUCGACCCUAAGGAGUUGUUUAAAUCUUCCCCUUGUGUUUUAAAGCUAAUUGCUGCAAUCUAAGUAAAUUCUAAGUCUCAAUUUCAUUACUUUGCUUACUAUCACUUUAAGAACGUUUGUUUUCC